GGGCGCUUGGUCUAGGGGUAUGAUUUUCGCUUCGCAUGUGAGAGGCCGGGGGUUCAAAUCCCCCAGUGUCCA
Molecule: transfer RNA, 72 nt
Filed under: Colletotrichum graminicola M1.001
Lineage: Eukaryota; Fungi; Ascomycota; Sordariomycetes; Glomerellales; Glomerellaceae
Description: tRNA-Ala (CGC) (tRNA-Ala-CGC-3-1)
Rfam family: tRNA
About the family: Transfer RNA (tRNA) molecules are approximately 80 nucleotides in length.
Source: RNAcentral